GGAAUAUAGCUCAGUUGGUAGAGUGCUUGCCUUGCAUGCACAAGGCCCUGGGUUCAAUCCUCAGCACCA
This 69-nucleotide transfer RNA is filed under the name Marmota monax (woodchuck). RNAcentral describes it as "tRNA.Ala". The stretch from base 7 to 64 matches the Rfam family "tRNA", at positions 8 to 63 of the family's 71-position model. From Rfam's summary of the family: Transfer RNA (tRNA) molecules are approximately 80 nucleotides in length. Lineage: Eukaryota; Metazoa; Chordata; Mammalia; Rodentia; Sciuridae. The record is from RNAcentral.